Molecule: RNA transcript, 824 nt
Organism: Fragaria vesca subsp. vesca
Lineage: Eukaryota; Viridiplantae; Streptophyta; Magnoliopsida; Rosales; Rosaceae
Gene name: peroxisome biogenesis factor 10-like
Exons: 3
Source: RefSeq, a predicted model, not a curated record
GACGGCCAGUACACCUCCUUGGUGUACGACGCUUGCCGUGACGCCUUCGGCCACCUCUUGGGUACAGCAAGAGUUGCUGUGGCUUACCAGAACGAGCUCUAAGGUACAGCUAGCUAUAUAUGGGAAUAUCAAUUGCGUUUGUUUGUGAUUUUGGGCAGACAAAGCUUGUUGGGCAAAUGCUCUGUUACUCAGGCAAUUUCCAAUCGAACGAAUGCAAGAGUGAAGCCGAGGCAUAGAUUAUCAUCCUUUCUGCUAAAGGAAUCCCGGUACAUAUUCUCCUCCCUGAACCAAAGGGAAGAUAUUGGAACUUAUUGCCCUGGUAAUCAAAGCUGUUGCUUGGAUCCGUGUUGAGGAACCUCUGGGGUCUAAAUUCCAAGGGAUUGUCCCAGACACUUGAAUCUCUGUGUAUGGCCAAAACAUUGAGAAAAACAGUCGAACCUUUUGGUAUCUGAUAGCCACCAAUGGUGGUACAUUGUUUUGAACGCCGAGGCAGAAGAGGCACAACCGAGUGCAGGCGUAAUGUCUCCUUGAUCACAGCAUCUAAGUGAUGUAAUUUCGGCAAAUGAAACUCUUCAACCAACUGGUUCAACCCGACAAUGUCUCUUAGUUCUUCUUGAACUCUUCUCAUUUCUUCUGGGUGCUGCAUCAGUUCUGUCAUCACCCAUUCUAUCGUUGUUGCUGUGGUGUCCGUUCCACCCACCACAAUAUCCUGUUAAUCAUCAUAUAUGGCGGUAAUUUAUUGAUUCAAUGUAACUUAAUACUGAGACAAAUUACCACUACUCUUCCAUGCAAGGAAUAAGCCAAAAGUUAGAUUACUAUACCAU